ACGUAGGGUGCGAGCGUUGUCCGGAAUUAUUGGGCGUAAAGAGCUCGUAGGCGGUCUGUCGCGUCUGCUGUGAAAUCCCGAGGCUCAACCUCGGGCCUGCAGUGGGUACGGGCAGACUAGAGUGCGGUAGGGGAGAUUGGAAUUCCUGGUGUAGCGGUGGAAUGCGCAGAUAUCAGGAGGAACACCGAUGGCGAAGGCAGGUCUCUGGGCAUUAACUGACGCUGAGGAGCGAAAGCAUGGGGAGCGAACAGGA
RNAcentral lists this ribosomal RNA (253 nucleotides) under uncultured prokaryote. RNAcentral describes it as "partial 16S ribosomal RNA". It matches the Rfam family "Bacterial small subunit ribosomal RNA", at positions 525 to 777 of the family's 1533-position model. The record is from RNAcentral.